ACCACUGCAGGUUACUCUCUGAAUCAACAUAUGAAACAUAAUUUCAUUGUCUUUCCUCCCCCUUUCUUCUAGGCCUUGAGCGGUAAUUAUAAAGACUUCAAAUCUCCCUAGUGACAUCAGCUGGUUAAAAAACUUUGGAUCACUGGAUUAAUGUAACCCAGAGCCUGCUUUUGGCAGUGUUAUUCACACUCCAGACAAGGCAGAAGAACAGAGGGAGUGAAGAUGUCAAAGGAGUAAGACCAAGACAGAGGGACUUAAAACCAGGUAAGAAUUGAGGCAGAAGCAGUGAAGUCUUUAACAGACUGGUUUGUGUAACAACCUUU
RNAcentral lists this long non-coding RNA (323 nucleotides) under Manacus vitellinus (golden-collared manakin). RNAcentral's name for it is "lncRNA (ENSMVIG00005013920.1)". The record is from RNAcentral. Lineage: Eukaryota; Metazoa; Chordata; Aves; Passeriformes; Pipridae.